This 174-nucleotide ribosomal RNA is filed under the name Triticum aestivum (bread wheat). RNAcentral's name for it is "partial small subunit ribosomal RNA". Lineage: Eukaryota; Viridiplantae; Streptophyta; Magnoliopsida; Poales; Poaceae. The record is from RNAcentral.
AUGACUCAGGGUGGUCGCAGACACGCUUCAUCUCUGGCUCAGCCGCGAGCACAGCUGGCCCCUUGCGCUUUAUGUCCUUGGCCUUGGCCUUCUUGUCUUCUAAAUCAGCAUCAAGGAGCUCGAGAAGGGAGAGGCGUCCCUCCUCGGCCCUCACGUACCUGUUCGCCAUGUUGA